Molecule: ribosomal RNA, 574 nt
Filed under: uncultured Alphaproteobacteria bacterium
Lineage: Bacteria; Pseudomonadati; Pseudomonadota; Alphaproteobacteria
Description: bacterial SSU rRNA
Rfam family: Bacterial small subunit ribosomal RNA
Source: RNAcentral
CGAAUUCGCCCUUCCUACGGGAGGCAGCAGUGGGGAAUCUUGCGCAAUGGGCGAAAGCCUGACGCAGCCAUGCCGCGUGGAUGAUGAAGGUCUUAGGAUUGUAAAAUCCUUUCACCGGGGACGAUAAUGACGGUACCCGGAGAAGAAGCCCCGGCUAACUUCGUGCCAGCAGCCGCGGUAAUACGAAGGGGGCUAGCGUUGCUCGGAAUUACUGGGCGUAAAGGGCGCGUAGGCGGACAGUUAAGUUGGGGGUGAAAGCCCGGGGCUCAACCUCGGAAUUGCCUUCAAUACUGGCUGUCUUGAGUACGGGAGAGGUGAGUGGAACUCCGAGUGUAGAGGUGAAAUUCGUAGAUAUUCGGAAGAACACCAGUGGCGAAGGCGACUCACUGGCCCGUUACUGACGCUGAGGCGCGAAAGCGUGGGGAGCAAACAGGAUUAGAUACCCUGGUAGUCCACGCCGUAAACGAUGAGUGCUAGUUGUCGGCAUGCAUGCAUGUCGGUGACGCAGCUAACGCAUUAAGCACUCCGCCUGGGGAGUACGGUCGCAAGAUUAAAACUCAAAGGAAUUGACGGA